CCUACGGGCGGCAGCAGUGAGGAAUAUUGGUCAAUGGGCGUAAGCCUGAACCAGCCAAGUCGCGUGAGGGAUGAAGGUUCUAUGGAUCGUAAACUUCUUUUAUAAGGGAAUAAAGUGCGGGACGUGUCCCGUUUUGUAUGUACCUUAUGAAUAAGGAUCGGCUAACUCCGUGCCAGCAGCCGCGGUAAUACGGAGGAUCCGAGCGUUAUCCGGAUUUAUUGGGUUUAAAGGGUGCGUAGGCGGCAUUUUAAGUCAGGUGUGAAAGUCUGUGGCUCAACCAUAGAAUUGCCGUUGAAACUGGGAGGCUUGAGUACGGUUGAGGUAGGCGGAAUGCGUGGUGUAGCGGUGAAAUGCUUAGAUAUCACGAAGAACCCCGAUUGCGAAGGCAGCUUACUAGGCCAUGACUGACGCUGAGGCACGAAAGCGUGGGGAUCAAACAGGAUUAGAUACCCGAGUAGUC
Molecule: ribosomal RNA, 460 nt
Filed under: uncultured bacterium
Lineage: Bacteria
Description: partial 16S ribosomal RNA
Rfam family: Bacterial small subunit ribosomal RNA
Source: RNAcentral